GACGAACGCUGGCGGCGUGCUUAACACAUGCAAGUCGAACGGAAAGGCCCUGCUUGCAGGGUACUCGAGUGGCGAACGGGUGAGUAACACGUGGGUGAUCUGCCCUGCACUUCGGGAUAAGCCUGGGAAACUGGGUCUAAUACCGGAUAGGAGCCAUUUUUAGUGUGAUGGUUGGAAAGUUUUUUCGGUGUAGGAUGAGCUCGCGGCCUAUCAGCUUGUUGGUGGGGUAAUGGCCUACCAAGGCGGCGACGGGUAGCCGGCCUGAGAGGGUGGACGGCCACAUUGGGACUGAGAUACGGCCCAGACUCGUACGGGAGGCAGCAGUGGGGAAUAUUGCACAAUGGGCGCAAGCCUGAUGCAGCGACGCCGCGUGGGGGAUGACGGCCUUCGGGUUGUAAACUCCUUUCGCUAGGGACGAAGCUUUUUGUGACGGUACCUAGAUAAGAAGCACCGGCUAACUACGUG
RNAcentral lists this ribosomal RNA (465 nucleotides) under uncultured bacterium. RNAcentral describes it as "partial 16S ribosomal RNA". It matches the Rfam family "Bacterial small subunit ribosomal RNA", at positions 28 to 507 of the family's 1533-position model. The record is from RNAcentral.